This is an RNA transcript of Glycine soja, 1659 nucleotides long. It is a transcript of the gene named SWR1 complex subunit 2, with no coding region annotated. Lineage: Eukaryota; Viridiplantae; Streptophyta; Magnoliopsida; Fabales; Fabaceae. The transcript is spliced from 11 exons. The record is from RefSeq and is a predicted model, not a curated record.
AAAAUAAAAGAGUGAAUAGAGGCAGCAACGUUCAGGUCCAGGGUGCGGCAUGGAGGGGUCAGGCGAAGAUGUUGUGUUGCUGGACCGCGCGUCUCGAGCGACGAGGGGAAAGAGAUUGACGAAGCUCCUCGACGACGAAAUCCAAGAAGACGAAUUGUUCUGGAACCAGGACGCUCUCAAAGAGGACGAAGAGGACGAUAACUACCAAGAGGAGCCCGAAAUCGCCGACGAAUUCGACUCCGACUUCGACCAAGACGAGCCCGUGCCCGAGGAAGAAGAAGACCCUAACAAAAAUGACGAUGAUGAAAGGAUGCAUAAAAAGAAGCGACUUAUAUUUCCUGGGAAGACUCUGGCGAAAAAGAAGAAAAAGAAGAAAACCAUAUCCAAAUUGGAGAGUUCUCCAAAGGAGAAUGAGGACGAGGAGCAUUCCGGGAAAGUUGUGGAGGACGAGGGUGGGGAGAGAAUGAUCAGGAAGUCCACUAGGACUUCUGUCAUUGUUCGCCAAGCUGAGAGAGAUGCCAUUCGUGCAGCCCUCCAAGCCACCAUCAAGCCGGUCAAAAGGAAGAAGGAAGGUGAGGAGAAGAGGAUGACACAGGAAGAGAUGCUUUUAGAAGCUGCUCAAACAGAAAUUAUGAACUUGCGAAAUUUAGAGCGUGUUUUGGCUAGAGAGGAAGAGGUUAAGAGAAGAGCAAUUGUGCAUAAAACUGUUUUUAAUGGACCGCAGAUACGGUAUAUUUCAAAAAAUGGUACUUCCUAUUUAGAGUUUAUUAAAGGGUCGUCAUUUCACUCGGACAUUCCCACAGCACCUGUACAAUAUCCAGAGCAACCUGUUUGCCCGAUUACUGGUUUGCCUGCCAAGUACCGUGAUCCAAAGACUGGCCAGCCAUAUGCUACAAAAGAAGCUUUUAAAAUAAUUCGAGAACGCUUUCUGAAUGAAAGUACUAACAGUAGAAAGGACAUGAGCAUGGGAGGCUUAUAUGAUUCAGUUUCUGGAUGUGGUUUUUCAAUUAAGCGAAAGAGAUCGAUAAUGCCAGAUAAAAAUGUCAACCCAGAUGGUCGGUCCUUAGCUCGUUUUCGUAGAAUUCCGGAUUUUGAGGAUGAAGAUUAUUCUGACUAGCUGCCUGAGGCUGAUAGUGAAAGAUGUCAUGGUGGUUGUACUACAUGAUCAUGAUCCAGACUUCAGGUUGAGAUAAUAUAAGAAACCGAGUAUAUGACCAGUGCUUGCAAGGAAAUGUUGGGUCGUGUCUUGGAGCUUGCAACUAGCAAGAGACGGGAGAAAGUUGGGUUGCUCUUCUGGAGUUUGAUAGACAUCAACCGUUUACCCGAAGGCUACAAUUUGAUCAAAACGUUAGAUUUCCCAUUUGUCUUUGACACAAAAACAAAGCUAUUAUUGUGAAGAACUAACUGAGAUCCAUCCAUUUAACAAAAAGUAGAUUGAUGACGUUCGCAGGAAAAGCUGAACAGCCAGGAAGGCGCCAACGCGAAUCAAAAGACACUAGUUUUCUAUGGAUUAAACAAAUACUAUAGGGACCACGUGACACAUGCAAAUAUGAGUUGCCAUGGUCCAUCAAUUAAAUAUACAAUUUGAUCUUUCAAUUACACUUAACAAAUGUUUAAAUAUUAUAGACGAUUAAUUUGAUUCUACUUCAUUACAUUAAA